This 825-nucleotide ribosomal RNA is filed under the name Escherichia coli. RNAcentral's name for it is "partial 23S ribosomal RNA". It matches the Rfam family "Bacterial large subunit ribosomal RNA", at positions 362 to 1191 of the family's 2925-position model. The record is from RNAcentral. Lineage: Bacteria; Pseudomonadati; Pseudomonadota; Gammaproteobacteria; Enterobacterales; Enterobacteriaceae.
GGGUGACAGCCCCGUACACAAAAAUGCACAUGCUGUGAGCUCGAUGAGUAGGGCGGGACACGUGGUAUCCUGUCUGAAUAUGGGGGGACCAUCCUCCAAGGCUAAAUACUCCUGACUGACCGAUAGUGAACCAGUACCGUGAGGGAAAGGCGAAAAGAACCCCGGCGAGGGGAGUGAAAAAGAACCUGAAACCGUGUACGUACAAGCAGUGGGAGCACGCUUAGGCGUGUGACUGCGUACCUUUUGUAUAAUGGGUCAGCGACUUAUAUUCUGUAGCAAGGUUAACCGAAUAGGGGAGCCGAAGGGAAACCGAGUCUUAACUGGGCGUUAAGUUGCAGGGUAUAGACCCGAAACCCGGUGAUCUAGCCAUGGGCAGGUUGAAGGUUGGGUAACACUAACUGGAGGACCGAACCGACUAAUGUUGAAAAAUUAGCGGAUGACUUGUGGCUGGGGGUGAAAGGCCAAUCAAACCGGGAGAUAGCUGGUUCUCCCCGAAAGCUAUUUAGGUAGCGCCUCGUGAAUUCAUCUCCGGGGGUAGAGCACUGUUUCGGCAAGGGGGUCAUCCCGACUUACCAACCCGAUGCAAACUGCGAAUACCGGAGAAUGUUAUCACGGGAGACACACGGCGGGUGCUAACGUCCGUCGUGAAGAGGGAAACAACCCAGACCGCCAGCUAAGGUCCCAAAGUCAUGGUUAAGUGGGAAACGAUGUGGGAAGGCCCAGACAGCCAGGAUGUUGGCUUAGAAGCAGCCAUCAUUUAAAGAAAGCGUAAUAGCUCACUGGUCGAGUCGGCCUGCGCGGAAGAUGUAACGGGGCUAAACCAUG